AAGCCUGAUCCAGCCAUGCCGCGUGAGUGAUGAAGGCCUUAGGGUUGUAAAGCUCUUUCACCGGGGAAGAUAAUGACGGUACCCGGAGAAGAAGCCCCGGCUAACUCCGUGCCAGCAGCCGCGGGCAAACGAAGGGGGCUAGCCUUGUUCGGAAUUACUGGGCGUAAAGCGCACCGAAGUUACUGGGCGUGUCGGGGGUGAAAUCCCUGGGCUCAACCCCGGAACUGCCUUCCAGGCUGGCAGUCUAGAGUUCCGGAGAGGUGAGUGGAAUUCCGAGUGUAGAGGUGAA
This 289-nucleotide ribosomal RNA is filed under the name uncultured Albidovulum sp. RNAcentral describes it as "partial 16S ribosomal RNA". It matches the Rfam family "Bacterial small subunit ribosomal RNA", at positions 379 to 685 of the family's 1533-position model. The record is from RNAcentral. Lineage: Bacteria; Pseudomonadati; Pseudomonadota; Alphaproteobacteria; Rhodobacterales; Paracoccaceae.